Molecule: long non-coding RNA, 1002 nt
Organism: Esox lucius (northern pike)
Lineage: Eukaryota; Metazoa; Chordata; Actinopteri; Esociformes; Esocidae
Source: Ensembl
UCAGGGAACAAGUAUUGGGUUAACAGCUUAUCGCUCUUAUGCAGCAAUAGACGUACAUGCAGUAUAGCCAUGAAAGUUUGUGCUAAUUUCUACAGGUGUCGCAACUGAUUACUUACCAACCAUCUGUAUAAAAGCAGUGUUGGAACAUACUGUGUUACUACACCCUCUUAAGCAUUAUUUGGACAGUAUUGCACUGCAGGAAGUAGUAAAUCGCUAUCAUAAUGGUGAGAAAAAGGCAAUUAACAAAGGAAAACAAUCCGAACUUUAUAACUGUAAAAGUCUUUCCUUUAGAGAAAUUGCAAAGAAAGCCAAGGUGUCAGUGAGUACAGUUUCUUACACCAUCAAAAGGCACUUGGAAACUGGAGGAAACUCUGACAGGAAGAGGCCCAAAGGCAGGCCCACAGCCACAAAAAAAUAAGUAUCUGAGUGUCAACAGCUUGCGUGAUAGGUGGCUCACAGGACUAAAGCUGCAAGCACAGCUUAACACUGGUCAAAGUAAGCAAGUCUCAGUUUCAACUGCGAAAAGUAGACUUAGUGGCAGUAAGAAAGCCAUUGCUAAGAUGGCAAAAUAAGAAAGAGGCUUGCCUGGGCCAUGAAGCAUCGCCAGUGGACUACUGAAGACAGGAAGAAGGACUUCUGGACUGAUGAAUCAAAAUCUUCGGUUCAGCACACAAGGUUUUUGUACAUCGUCAAGUAGGCAAAUGGAGGGGAAAGUGUGAUGGUCUGGGGCUCUAUUACCCGAGGCAGAGCUACGUCAGAACUACCUUAGAAGAAAAGAACAAGACGGUAAUCUACAAAUUAUGGAAUGGCCAGCAAAGUCUACAGACUUAAACCCCUUCGAGCUGGAUUGGGAUGAACUGGGCAGUAGGGUGAAAGCAAAGCUAAGUUCAACACAUUUGUGGGAACGUCUACAAGAAUGGUGGGAAGAAUUUUCUGAACAACUUUAGAUUUUCAUUGUAGAAUGAAUACCACAAGUGUUUUUGUCUGCAGAAUGCUACCUGG